UACGUAGGGCGCAAGCGUUAUCCGGAAUUAUUGGGCGUAAAGAGCUCGUAGGCGGUUUGUCGCGUCUGCCGUGAAAGUCCGGGGCUCAACUCCGGAUCUGCGGUGGGUACGGGCAGACUAGAGUGAUGUAGGGGAGACUGGAAUUCCUGGUGUAGCGGUGAAAUGCGUAGAUAUCGAGAGGAACACCUGCGGCGAAGGCGGGUUGCUGGGCUGACACUGACGCUGAUGUGCGAAAGCUAGGGGAGCGAACGGG
Molecule: ribosomal RNA, 253 nt
Filed under: uncultured bacterium
Lineage: Bacteria
Description: partial 16S ribosomal RNA
Rfam family: Bacterial small subunit ribosomal RNA
Source: RNAcentral